AAGUUUUUGCAGAGGCAGCAAUUUUUUUUUAAAACUUAAUAAAAACUAAAGAGUCGUUAUUCAUCAGUUACAAUGGGACAGACCAUCAGUUCAGGAGAACAAGGACUCCAUGUGAGUGAGAUAAAAAAUGAAGUACUUAGGUGUGCAUCAGUACUGAAAGAGAUAGCCUUGUUAUCAUAUGGAGAUUUCUUAAGGAAAGUUCAGAAACUGAACAGAAUAUCAAUGUCUAUUCCUGAUUCGUAUGGUAGAAAGCUUGUGUUCAUUGUAAAGAAAGGAACGGAUGCAUCAUUAUUCUGGAAGGGUACUGUUCAGAUAGCUUGUAUAAGGACGAUUGUUUCAUCUGGAAAGAUUGAGACGUAUAGACUAUUGAAUCUUCGACAGUUUCUUCGGGUCUAUAAGAUAAUGAUCUAUUAUACUAGUACAGCUCCACCUUCUAGUCAAGUUAAUCCAGUAAGAGAGCAUGUGGCUAGUUCAACCAGUACAUCGCAAGUUUCUGAAGAUGAGACUGAAGUUAAAAGAUAUGAUGAAUAUGCUUCUGAUUGCUGUUCCAUCUGGUCAGGUUCUUUGAAUACAUCUGUCAUUCUAAAUGAAAUUACUGCUGUGACGGACAUAGCCACUGACCUGGAUGAAUGUUGUAUAUGUAUGGAGAGAAAACCAGAAACUACUUUGCCUUGUGCUCAUAGCUAUUGUAUACGCUGUAUUGAACAGUGGAAUGUAUCCCACAACACUUGUCCAUUGUGUCGAGAAAAACUUGAAAGCACUGAUGAUUCAUGGGUAAUAUCUGAGGCUCCAAAUUCUGAAGAAAUGCAGCAAGAACUGCAACAAGCUUUAUUAUGUCUAGCAGAAGAGAGGCCUUGUGAUAGCCCAUAGAUACAAUGUUUUGCUAAUACGAAGUAUUGAAAACCAGUGAUGGUUACUACUAUAUUGAUGUCAUCUGAUGAAGGCAUUUUACUGACAUUAUUUUGUAGCAGUACAACAUACAGUGAUAUAUGGUUGAGGCAUUACACCUCUAGUGUCGACUCUAAUGAAAUGUGAUUUCAGUAUUAUAUCAGCAUCACCUAGUUAUAGAGGUGAUAGGUAUUACAUCCGUUUAGGGUGGUAUCUCUGUGUCAUACAGAAACCAUGUAAGCUCAACUGACAAGUUCUGAUGUCAAACCAAAAGCCUUUUGGGUGGCAAAAAAAGACAAAAGAAUAAUCAGAAAUGGUAGCUUUACACAGACAUUUUGUUUAAUAUCAGAAAAGGGCAAAUUUAAGAAGAAAAAUAGAAGAAAAAAAACAUUGUACUUUAAUUAUAUCACAAAUGUUAAGCUUAUUGAUGAAGUAUGUGUUUGUGUUGAAGUGAAUUAUAACUUUCAAAGACUUGAAAGAAAUGUUCUCAUAUUUCAUAAUGAUAGUAAAUCUGAUAAAGAAGUGCAUGUUUGAUAGUUGCUUAAAGCAGCAUUUCCUGACCAUUGGUUCAUGGAUAACCUUUUUGCAGGUAUACAGAAAUGUCCCGAGUGGAAAAAAAUAAAGAAAAAUGUUUUGUGAAAUAUUUGCUUUCCAUGCAAUUUACCUCCUCCUUUCUGGUUUGUUGUAAACCAAAUAAGCCUCAGAGCUUUGCGAAGAAGCUAAGAAGAAAAAUAAUAAGUUUAUGUACUCAUAACAGUUCUUAAGUGUUUCAAAAAAUAUUAUGGUAGCUCCUGGAGUGAUAAUGGUUGUGAACCAGUGGUUUAAAGAACUAACUGCAGCUUAUGUUUCAGAAAUGAUCACUUAUUUCAAUCUACGUGCCAUUGUUGUAACAUAUAUGGUGCAAGUGACUAAAGUAUGUUGGUUUUUUAAAGGGAAAAUUAAAAUUCUCCUGUCCUAGCUCUAGUCUGAAUGUGUUCGCAGUAACAACACGGCUUUGGACUAUCAAAGAUUAAGUUCUUUGAAUAUUUAUGUAAAUCACAAGUGGUCAACAUAACUUUAUAAUGUUGCUACAUAUCCUUUUUCUAUGAUGAAAUUCUGAGGAUUGUUUUCCAACUUUCUUAUCAAGAGUUUCUGAGGAAUGAGGUAGACAUGAAUUCUGCUCCUGAAGCUAAUCCCACAGGUUCUACAGAGAAUACUUGGCCAGUUUAUUCUCACAAUAAUCUACUGUUUACAGCAGCAGGCAGUGACUACAUGUGUACUUUAGAGAAUAAGAAUUUUCAUCUAUCAAAGUUAAGUGACCAAUAGCACUACUGAAAUGCUUGACAAUUUUUGCCAGAAUGUCAAUCCUAUAACCUAUAUCACCAUUAUUGAUUAUGUACACAUGCUCAUUGGAGUGAAUUUCUUCCCACACUUUGCCUAUUGUUACUGCCUAUCUUGAAAGAAAAACUACUAUAAGAAUGGACUCUCCACCAUUUCGUUUUUUGAACUUCCACCCCUCUAGAGCUUGUAGACAUGGGACCAGCUUUAGUGAAGAACCUAGUCUAUCUCGCUCACCAGACUUCUGGUAAAGAAAUGGAAAAAAUUUCCCCACAACUCUUCUAGGCUUAAAUAGGGUUGAGAUGGACUACUUGUUAAAAACUACCAAAAUAUUUUUACAGUCCCUGAGAAAAUGUUGGUACUAAAAAUCAACAAGCGUGACAUGCGAGGAAGUUGCUUUAAAACGUUAUACUUGCACAAUACGUGUCAAUACUUUGUGUAAUUUUAUAACUUAAAUAAAUUUUGAAAUUAACUUCUAUAGUACUUUUUGUGACAUAAAAUAUUUGUGGUAAGAAAUUCAAUGAACCAUUUAAGAAAAAGAAGUUUAUUACACAACACACUGUGUGUGGGCUGCUUUGCUCUUUGUCUCCAAACUCUAUACUUCAAGAGUCAAAUGGGCAAAUAGCUUCCAUGCCUUUAAAUCUUGUUUUAUCCCAAAUACUUGUAAAGUUAAAUGUCACGCACAAACAUAUUUCCUUAACAUUCACUUUUAUCUAAAUUUUACACAACCACACAGCACUGGACACUUCUGGCCCACUUAAGAUAUAAUACUCUGUUUACAAGGAAUUCCUAAUUUUUUUUCAACAACAAACAUUAUUCAAUAAAAUGGAUUUAUUUUAGAUUUAUUUCAAUAUUUGUAGUUAAAGUUAUUAUUUUAGCUGUUAAACACUUUAAUCUUGUGUUAACAGAUAAGUAUAAUUAUGACAUAAGUGUCAAGCAUGAGUAAACAACAACAUCAAUAUAUAGUAACUUGUGCUUUAUGAAGUUCUACUUUUGAAUCACCACCAAUCAGUAUUACUACUUGACAGCUGUUUUUUUAAUGUAUCCACAUAUAUAUAUAUAUAUAUAUGCACAUAUCUGAGUAGUGGUACUUCUGCAAUACAGGGAAAUUUCAAACUGGAAACUUGGGUACCAACUUAAAAAUAUUUUUGAAGCUUUAGCACUAAAAUUCAGCCCCCAUCCUGUAUUCACUGAGCAAUAUGUGAAAUUUGUUGGAGGAAAUACACUGCCACCUCACAUAAACCUGUAUAUAUACAUCUACAGAUUUAUGGUUUCUGAUUUGAAACCACUCAAAUAUUUUUUUUAUUUUUUCUUUUUACAAACUCCUAUAUACAAAAUGAAGCAGACAUAACAGCUUAAGCUACCAAGCAAGUUUCACUUCCAAUUCUAUACAUAUUCAUUCUGUAGAUUACUAUUACAAUAAUAUUUAAAAGUGGCUGUGAGUACACUAUUAAUAAAAUCAAAAUACAGAAAAUGAAGUUUCGAUGGUUGGUUUUUAUCAGAGCAGAAAUAUCAAUUCACCAUGUU
RNAcentral lists this unclassified non-coding RNA (3732 nucleotides) under Limulus polyphemus (Atlantic horseshoe crab). RNAcentral's name for it is "rING finger protein 141-like, transcript variant X2". Lineage: Eukaryota; Metazoa; Arthropoda; Merostomata; Xiphosura; Limulidae. The record is from RNAcentral.